Molecule: long non-coding RNA, 1426 nt
Organism: Orcinus orca (killer whale)
Lineage: Eukaryota; Metazoa; Chordata; Mammalia; Artiodactyla; Delphinidae
Exons: 3
Source: RefSeq, a predicted model, not a curated record
CCCCCUCUAGUCUAGCGAGGACUUUCCUAAAUAAGCUGCUUGUAACUCGGUUCCCUCCUGUUCCCUGCUCCCGCCUUCAGCCCCAAAGCAAAACAACAAAACCAACCAACCAGAAAAGCCGCCGCCGCCUCCCCCAAACAAAACCCCAAACCCACCCCAACUCUGCAUCAGCUGUUCUUGCGCACGUUAUGUGAACUUCGUGGGCUAUAGAUAUUUUAGGCCUUUAAAUGCCAUUCUGUGCACACAAAACUUAAAAAUGGUCUGACACGGGGGAAAAUUGGCAAACGUAUAGUUCACAAUCUGUUACCGUCACGUGAAGGCAGAUUCAGGAAAAGCUCCACUGGCUCUUUCUUCCAAGCCAGGUUAUGCAACGUCUUAAAAUCCUUAAAAUCGUCUGGGGACUUGUCUGAGAGAGGAAGAAGGGGGAGCCAGGAGGGAGAAGCCAGGAUUUGGUUGCCACGUGGACACGAGUCAUUGGAUUUAGGGCCCACUGUGAACCUGGAUGAUCUCGUCUCAAGGUCCUUACCUUAAUUACAUCUGCAAAAACCCUAUUUCAAAUAAGGUUACAUUCUGAGGUGCCAGGAGUUAGGACUUGGACAUAUAUUUUGGGGGCUGCUAUCUACCUCACUGCAUGCCUCCUUGCUUAAAAUCAUCCAAUGAAAGAUAACCCUCAUUCUGCACAAAACAUCUUUUGAGCCAUCAUUAAAUAACGGAUCGAUGAAGUGCUUCGAAUCUUCAGCUCAGCAAGUGAAUUAAUUUGAAAAAGAAUGACAUAAAGGUUCUCUGUUCUUUCUGUGAGGAAGUUUCUCCCAAAUGAUUUUUCAAGAUGAGCAAAUGAAAAAAAAAAUGCAUAAUUGCAGCUGUCACUAGAUCAUUUUCUCCUUCAUUUUUGGGGUCUAUUCUUACUUGUUCGAAUUGUGUAGACAGCUUUGAUCAUGCUGCCGUUGCCAAGCAAUUCACUCAUCUGCUGAGUCCCCGACUGCCAAACCGAACUGUUCUCUCACCAGACGAUACUCUGUUCCACACAAUCUGAUUUUCAUCCUGUGCUUUGAACUCUGUUACCACUGCCUUAAGAAGAGAGAAUACUUUCGGAAUUUUUUGACUAUAGGAAACAGAACACAUGAAGCUUGGUUUUCACAACUUGGAUUCUUACGUGGAUUCCCAGACAGCUCUCAUGUUCUAAAAUUACUCUUUGGUCAUCUCACUAUGUGCUCCCUAAUUCUGCACUUCAGUGCUUCUAGAAGGGCUGCCCUCCUUUCCCCCGAAGGCGGAAAGGACACAGUCAAUAUGUUUUUCCCCUGCACAGGAGUAAGAAAAAUUAUCUGUAGUCCAUUUUUAUCAUGACUCUUGUGUGGCCUCUUUUCUUUUCUGUGGAAGGUGUUUCUAGUGCCUUGGUGGGACAACACACUUUUUUUUUUUUUUUUUU